AAUAUUGGACAAUGGGGGGAACCCUGACCCAGCCAUGCCGCGUGUGUGAAGAAGGCCUUCGGAUUGUAAAGCACUUUAAGUUGGGAGGAAGAGUUGUAGGCUAAUACCCUGAAGUUUUGACUUUACCAACAGAAUAAGCACUGGCUAACCCUGGGCCAGCAGCCGCGGUAAUACAGAGGGUGCAAGCGUUAAUCGGAAUUACUGGGCGUAAAGCGCGCGUAGGUGGUUCAGUAAGAUGGGUGUGAAAUCCCCGGGCUUAACCUGGGAACUGCUUUCAUAACUGCUGAGCUAGAGUACGGUAGAGGGUAGUGGAAUUUCCUGUGUAGCGGUGAAAUGCGUAGAUAUAGGAAGGAACACCAGUGGCGAAGGCGACUACCUGGACUGAUACUGACACUGAGGUGCGAAAGCGUGGGGAGCAAACA
RNAcentral lists this ribosomal RNA (422 nucleotides) under uncultured bacterium. Its description in RNAcentral is "partial 16S ribosomal RNA". It matches the Rfam family "Bacterial small subunit ribosomal RNA", at positions 360 to 774 of the family's 1533-position model. The record is from RNAcentral.